RNAcentral lists this long non-coding RNA (853 nucleotides) under Sus scrofa (pig). RNAcentral describes it as "lncRNA (ENSSSCG00045016077.1)". The stretch from base 192 to 263 matches the Rfam family "Small nucleolar RNA SNORD113/SNORD114 family". The record is from RNAcentral. Lineage: Eukaryota; Metazoa; Chordata; Mammalia; Artiodactyla; Suidae.
AGAAAAGGAAACGAAAGGGAGAGGGAGUAAAGGCAAGACCAAAUUGCACAGUCCAUGGUGACAGGUAUCAUGAGACCUUCCCAUCCCACGGACCCCUGGAAGUUCAGGUAGGGUAUUGAUAUCUUACCCAGCCCUUUAAUAAAUUGAUCAACAAAGAAGGUCAAGCUAAAGGAACGCAGGAGGGACAGUAUUGGAUUGAAGAUGACUCCUGGUGGCAUAUGCGUCCUGUACGAUGAAAACCUGUCUGAAACUCCGAGGUCCACUGAAGGAGGAAUCUGGUUCAAUGUCCACAAAGCAGUGACCCAAUAGGCCGAGGUCAGGAAACGACGAGGGUGACUGACAGAGCACGGGCAUUCCAGCGUUUUCCUGGUGUUAGCCCAAUGGGAAAAUGUGAGCACCCGUCCGGCAGUAUCAGAGAACUGAAUCUAGAGAGAAAGGGAGUGAAGGCAUUUGCCAGGUCCUUGGUGACCCCCAUGGUAUGCCGCAUGCCAGGCUAUGGCCAGGUGUGUGUGUGGAAGCCGCGAGCCUGGAGAAUGGCUGUGCCAUUGGGUCUCCUGCUCUUGGCUUUGUACUCCUCAGUGUGCAGCCGCCGGACCCGAAGGCAGGCUCCUUCCUGGAUGAGCAGGCGAGGAUGGCAGCGUUGUCUCUGGAUCCAGAAGGCCAGUGGUGGAAGCCGAAGGCCAGGCCAGGCUGCGUGGGGCCGAGACCCCUCCUCUGGCGGUGGUGGCAGGAGAGAGCCCAAGGUGAGUCAUGGCCCCAUGCUGCUGUCUCAGUUUGGGUCAUUGGGAUAAGGGUUUUCAUUGUCUUCUUACAAAGUAGUAAAUGUAAUCAAAGUUUAACUAUGGUCUAUUGA